RNAcentral lists this ribosomal RNA (41 nucleotides) under uncultured Piloderma. RNAcentral's name for it is "partial 28S ribosomal RNA". The record is from RNAcentral. Lineage: Eukaryota; Fungi; Basidiomycota; Agaricomycetes; Atheliales; Atheliaceae. RNAcentral also lists the same sequence under 2 other names.
UGACCUCAAAUCAGGUAGGACUACCCUGCUGAACUUAAGCA